AUUCUCCCAGCUCCAUCGGCUGCCAACCUAGGGCCAUCGUCUGCCUCCAUCACCCCUCCGCCCGCCCGCCUACCCACCCAAUCCCAAACGGGUGCUGGAUCAGGUGCUGAAUCCGGCUGCCUCCUCGGGUACCAGUCACUGUGCAUUGCUGUGUGUCUGCCACCGCUGCCUGGCACUCAUGGGGCCGUGUGUGUGUGUAUGUGUGUGUGCGCGCAUGUACAUGUACGCAUAAGCGUGUGCUGUAUGUGAGCCUCCUGGGCAUGGGUGGGGGUUGGCAUUGCGGUUGCCAAUCUAGUGUACAACCAGAAGGACAGAGGGAUGGAGUGGAAGAAGGAGGGGAGAGGCUUGGGGUCUGGGAGGGGAGAAGAGGGUGCAUGAGUUGCUUCAUGCUGCCUGCUUACAGGCAUUGGCAUUGUAGCUGCCACCCUUGUGCCCACGGAGAUGGGAGGAGGCGAGUGGAGGGCGCAGCGGCAGGAGUCCUGUGCUCUGGGAGGAAGGCUUUGUACAUGGGAGCUGUUGGCAUCACAUCUGUCAGGCCGGUGCCCAGAACUGGGGCAAUGGAGACUGGGGGAUCCAGGAAGCAGGGAGGAGGGGCAGAAUGUGUUUCUGAUGUUGCUGUCCCUCUAGAAGCUCAGCUCUGAAAAAUGGUUGGAGUAUGAGGUGAUUAGUGCUCUUCCAGCUUGAGGAAGUAAAGUGGUGGAGAGAGUAGCCAGGGAAGUGCCAAGAAACAGUCUACGAGCCAGGGAGGAGGGAGUGUGCCACCGUACCCAGGGAGAACUUGUUGGGGCUGGCAAUCUGGCCCUUUGUCAGAGUAUUGAAGGAGACAGCAAGAGGACCAGAUGUGAGGUGGGUGGGUGCUGGCACUGCCCAUGGCACCUGGCACAGGCUCUGGCAUUGUGUGGAACAGGGGAGGUUGACAGUGCCUCUUGCCAAUCUGGUUGAGAGGGCUAUUGUGCCAGGAGUGAGAAGGAAGGAGGUGAAACAUUUCGGGAGGUGGGGUGUUUGGGAGACCAGAUUUUUUUCUGCCAGGUCCUCCUUCCCCUUCCCUCUUAGGCAUGGGGAGUGGAGCAACAGACGGAGAGUGGCAUGAAGACACAAAGGAGGAAGCACACCAUUGCCAAGACCCCAAGGAAGAAGGAUGGAAAGCGCUGGCAGUCCUGCCUGGCCCCCAGCCAGUUCCCUGCUGAAGAUGGCCAGAUCCCCUUGUCUGGUCUGUAUAUGCCACUUUUGCUGGGGUGGAAGGAGGGAAGGGCUGGCUUGCUGAGCUGGGCUCUAGAAUGGGAAGGGUACCUUUCUGCAGAUCCCAUUUGGACUCUCCACUUGAACAAGUGAGGUGUCUGAUUUUCUUCUUCGGUACCUUCCUCUCCUCCCCCUCCCUUCGCCUCACCCCGCUUUCAUCUCUCAUCACCACCUGGGUCCUACUGCUUGGCACCCAACCAACUGGAUGCUGCCACGUUUGGCAGUGCUGCACUGGCACGUGAACAGUGUCUCAGAUCCUGGCACUGCAGCAAACCCAAAGCCACCAAACAUGCUCAUGAUGCCACUUGGCAGCAGUCAGAGAGAGGGGGCUGUGCACAUAGUGGUGGCCAGGCAUUGGGUGGAGCUCUGUGCAGGGAACUGGCAUGAGAGGAUGCCCUUAACAACUGGGCUGAGUCAGCACUCCCUGGUCAAUCUCAGCUCUGCCUUCCUCCCAACUAGAUAUCCACCUCCUUCCUACCCUUAUUGCCCCCACGAAAGGGAUUUAGAUGGUACCAUAUUGAGUGUUUGAGCACCAUGCGAAAGGAAACAAGCACAGAGGGACAGGCUAGAGCACAGGCUGUAGACACACCCAAGGCUCCAGGCUAGUGGACCAUACAUAUCCUUGGACAACAAGAACAACAACAACAACAACAAAACCCUAGGAGAGCAAAAGGAGGUGGAGAGAGGGACACCAGCUGUGUUGUUACCAGGAUGGCACAAGAAGAGAUUGGAAGGGAAGUAGGAAGGAGUGACCCUCAGACCUUGCUCUUGGGUGAUGGGGUGGUUUGUACUUAUGCAUAUUUCAUUCUGCCUUGUGCCUUGUGAUUUGCUGAGCUGUGGUUGAGAUGAACUGGUUCUUUCUCCCUUGUUAAAAGGUCCAUAUUCAAUAAUAGUCCUAGAAAGAUGGAAAGGUGCUCUAGGCCUAGAGAGGUAGACAGGUGUUAGGAAGACAAAGGGACUUGUCCUUCCAGAAAGACUAUGCAAGGCACCCAGUUAGAGUUGGAUAGAUUUCCAUAUCUUUGAAAUCCAUCCCAAGAAGGGAGAUUGAGGAUAAGCAAUGAUCCCUGGUAGAGGGGAAGGCCCCUAGGAGGAGAAUCCCCAGCAUCUGUGGUGAUACAGACUAGCCCUCAGAAAACUAGACCUUGAGCCCCCAUCUGAAAGAAUUUCUAGUAGGUUUGGCUUUCCCAGUGACUGGGCAGAUCUUUAGAAGAUCUGGAAGAUUUGGCUGUGGGUGAUGUGGAGGGGAGGCUGGGUGGCUCUGGGAGAUAGGACCUGCCCAGAGGUAGGAGUAAAGUCCAUGCUGGGCUGAGCUGCUCAGGGCUGGGGAAGUUCUGAUUUCAGCAUCUCUGGAAGUGUAUGGCUACUUCAGAAGAAGCAAGGUGUUUUCCACAGCAGAGGAGAAAGCAGGGAGGCACUCAGCCAAAGUGGUGAGUGGACAAUGUUUCUAUCUUUUCUCCUGUUCAAGAACAGCCAACGUGAGCAGAAGACCAUGGUCAGUUUCCAGUAUGUUGGGGGUGGGAGUCGGGGUGAUGUCAGAGUAAUGAAGUCAACAAAUCUGAGGUUAUGAUAAGCCCUGGUGUGGUAGCCCCUGGGGUAGCAGGGUUGGUCCCUGGGUGCUGAAGAGAUGGGGGCAGGUCACAGAUAUGGUGCUAAGCUCUCUAGGUCAGUGGUUCUCAAACUUCAGAGGGCAUAGAAUCAUUUCAGGAGUUUCUGGUUCAGUUGGUCUUAGGUGUGGUCCAGGAAUAUGCAUUUUACAUAAGCACUCAUGUUCCAAGUGGACACUUGAAACGUUGAAAAACACUGUUCUGAGAGAUGGCAGUCACCUUUAGGAUGGUCGAUCCAAUCAGGGUUUCCCUUGCCUUUUGCAUCUGUCUUCCCCAGACUUACUCAUGUCUUUAUGCUGACAUGUUUGGGAUAUGUUUGUUGUGGGGUGUGUGUAUGCGUUUUGGGUGGGAGCAGUGGGAGGAAAAGGAGAGAUUGUGAGGUUGAAUCCAGCGAAUGUAACUUGUUAGAACAAUGAUCCUCACUGGCAGUAGUUACCACAGAAGAAUCCUUUAGGGAACACUUUGAAAAUUCACUCUUUCUUCACCCACAGAUUCUGAAGGCUGGCUGCCCGUGGGUUUCUGAAACCUCAUCAUUGAGAAUCACUAGGUUAGGAACAUUGUCAAGAGAUUAUUCUCUGUGAUCAAGUCAAAAUUGUGUAGAUUUUGUGGCUAGGUACAAGAUGGGUCCUGGAGGCAGGCCUGGGUCCCGGGUAAUGGAAGUAGGGGUCCACAGAGUACAACUCAGCCUACUGCUGAUACUCAGCAAAUGGCAGAAGAUGCUGUGGUUUGAGCACUUGGUGGGGACAUCUAGAAAUGAGCACAGCAUGGGUCAUUCUUCACAUCCAAUUGAGAAGACUUAGUGCAGGGUUUGGUAUCAGGGAGGACUUGUAGAUAUGGGGCAGUGCUGAGCCCCUGCUGAUUACUGGUUGUGGUGUCUUAGCCAUUGUUUGUGUAAGAAUAUGUGUGCAGUUGGGUGGGAUUAGGAGUCAACCCCGGGUGCUGCAUCACCUUUCCCCCUCUUCUUGGACAGGUUCAGCUUGUUCUGGUCUACCUAUACUCAACCUGCUUCCCCAUUAGCUUCUGGCCAGACUUCUUUCCAUGGCUGCGGAAUUGCAAGAAAUACCAUACUUAGACUACUGCCAGAGAAUAAUGACAUUUACCCCUUGUCUGUGCUUUGUGUGAGGGCUGUCUGGGUUCCAUAUAUGAAGGAGCGUCACUGGGUGGUCACGCAAUUGAAUCACGCAAUUUUAUCUUCUUCCCAUAACAUAUAGUUUCUCUCAAGAGGAAUUACCUUCAUGAUUACUUCCCAUCUUUCCCCAAACUUGAUGGGCCAUGGUCAAGAUCUUCUGCAAAUGUCCUCUCUCAAAUUUGCCUUCAUCUGAUCUUUUUAUAAUGUAUCUGAGCUAUAAUCCUGUAGACCCUGAGGCUGGGUCUACAGACUUGCUGUAGCAAGAGCUUUCUCAGUAUAAAGGCAUUUCUUCCCAACUCAGUCUCCUAGAAAUGACGCUUUCAUGGCUUAUAAGUUUCUGACUGGUUGCUUCUGAGAGAAAUUGUCCCCCAAUACCUGGCCAUUCGCAGAAGUUUACCCUGUUUUUCAUGGUGACAUCAUAUGAGUUUUCCCAAAAGUUUCCUCCUAAUUUGCCUCCUACAUAUCUCUUCCCUGAUGUCCAGAAUAAUUUACGGUCCUCUCCCCAUCGGGUGUGUGUGUGUUUGUUUGUUUGUUUUUUGUGACUGCGAGGAGGGGAGUGGACCCCUCAACCAUGUGCGUGCCCCCACUGCUGCCAUCCCCCUGUCCCCUCUUGACUGCCAGCAACAGCUUGGUAUGGGCCCAAUGCCCAUCCAUUUUCAGGGCUAGUUGAUUUGGCAGGUGAGUUGUUACACACUCCUUAGCAGAUCCUCUCCCCAUAUGUUAAUAUUCAACAUUUGGUCACUCUUCCUCUUACCGGUUACUUUUUCCUCUCACUUUCUCUGUUUAUAAGCUUUUUCUACCUACUUUUGUGUGAGAAAAAUUAGCGUGUGUUGGAGGGUAUUUCUGCUUAUGGGAGUAUAGGUCAUGGGUCUUGGGAUAUGUCCCUUGUACUUAUACAUAUGCCCAUGGGGCCCCAUCCUUGCUGGCACUGGUGUGUUUCCCUGCAGCCCCCUCUGCUGGGGUCUGCUGCUGUUUCUGAGGGUGUGUUUGUUUGUUUCACUGGUGUAGUUAUAUAUAUGGAGCUCUAUAUUUCAGAUUUACAUAUCUUUCCAGGGAUGAAUGACUGUCUUAAAACAGAUCACAGUGGUGGAGAUUUGGAGAAUCAGUGGUCUGGUCUAUAAGCCCUGAGAGUGGUUAAGAAACAAAUACAAAGAAUUAAGCAGAUGGGUGCUAUUAUGCCUGGAAUAAAAGGCUUGCUUGGUUCUUAAGCCUACUUCUAAUGCCCACUGUGCAUUGCUCUCUGGAGCAGGACUGCUGCUGCUAAGGACUUCUGGUGUGAGAAAGGGACUGGGAAGGAAUGCUUCCAGCCACUGGGAACAUGGAAUGGUGCCCCCUCAGGAAGCAUGUUAAUUGACCUAAGUCAGCAGAGUCAGCCCGGCUCUUUUGCCCCCAAAUUCCAGGGUUCCAGGUAAGUACAGUUGCUUAGAGUCAGCUCAUAUCUACUGUUGGGACCGCACGUGGUAUUGCCAGGCCAGGGUGUUAGGUGUAAAAGAACAUGUUGCGUGACAAGAGGAGGGGGGAUUUCUGGUUACAUCAACUCUCGGUGAAAACACUCAUAGUUCAAACUGAAGUUGGCUGAAAUCCUUAAGAUACAGCACACCACACUUCUAAUCAUUCCAUGCCAGGUGUUUGUCGAUGCUUUCUUUAAAACGUUUCCUUUGUCUUGUUUUUGUUCUAAAUUGUUUUUGGUUUCUAACUUUUAUACACAAGUCACAUUCCCAGAAAGCACAAGUGAAGAAUCUUCUUUCCUCAGAUACAUGCUGCUAAGAAAAUAGUUUUAUAUAUAGAAUUUCAACAGGAGAGAGAAAAGGACAGGGAGAGAGGGGUACAAGAGAGGCGGGGAAAGAAGGUGGCAGUGAGCACAAGACCCGGUGGCCAGUUUCUCUCCUGUUGCCUAGAUCUGUGACUGGCAUUUUUGGUAUCAGAAAUUGGGGUGGAAUUACAAAACUAACUCCGCCUAAUUUGCUGUUAGUUAGAAAACUAACUCCACCCCACCCCUAAUUUGUUAGAGUUGGAGUUAUUCAGAAGUGAAUGGGACAGGAAGUGAGACUCAUGGAAUAUAUGGGGGCUACUGACUGAGCUGAAUUUUCUGUCCCCUCCCAUUCUGUCUGCAUGUAAGACACUGCUUCAGUAUUAACAUGUUCACAGAGUGAUGUGACUGAUAGAGCAGAAAACCUAAAUCCCAGGGCUGGCUGAAUUUGUAUGAGAAUAUGAAAUGGAUAAUGAUAGAGCAACAGCCUGGAGGGGAGAGAGGAUGGAAGGAGAACACCUUGAAAGAGAAGUGGUCUUAGGGACAAGAGUAGUAGGAAAAACUACCUGGAGGACGAGGAAUUUUGCAGACUUUUCUUUGCUAAAAGAAAACAUGGACUUCUCUACCCCACACUACUUUAGCUGGGCUUUAGGGUUGCCAGAAUUUUCACCUGAUGGCUACAGAAACCAUUUGCCUAGGGGUACAGAACAUUCUUCUAGGUUCUGUUGGUUCCCUUGGUGAUAACACCCUAUCAAAGAUUGACCUGUGCUUCAGUCAUCUCCUUGCCCACCCCAUCCCCUCAAUUCGUGUCAGCUCUAGAACCCCAUGAGUCUCAUGGACGGGUCCCGACUCCCUUGGGGAUGCCUCCAGCAGCUGCUGCUUAACGGAGAAGCUGGGCUGGGCUGGACUGGAGGGAGCAGGAGCAAGGGCAGAGGACAAGGGGGAAGAAAAGGAGACUGGGGGGAAGGGAACAAGGGACCCAGCAAAGGUGGGCCUCCAGGGGGGCAGCAGGGUUAGGAGUUUGUGAGAAAGGUAAAUGCAAGGAGAAGGCAGGAGAUGAAAGAGAAGCAGAUCUCAGAUUCAGAAGUUAAAUACCCCACUCACCCCCUUCUUCCUGGGACUGCCAAGAUACUUUUGGUGACACUGACUUUUCUAACUCAUAGCUGGAAAUGAGGGGCUAUUACCUGUCCUGAUAAAUACCCAACUCAGGGAGCGGGGACAUGUCCCUCCCCAGAGUUCAGGCUCUUCUCCCUGUAUCGCCAGCUCCCACCUUGGAGGCUGCGCAUAGCAGGGGAGGGCUGCACCGGCAUCGGCCCUUCGAGGACCACCAGACCCAUAGCAAGGAGCUAAAGCUGUUUGGUCUUCCAAAGAUGAGGUGGUUUAAAGAAACCCUUAAACCGGGGGGGUGGGGGUGGGACAGGGAGCAGGGAGUGAC
Molecule: long non-coding RNA, 7157 nt
Filed under: Homo sapiens (human)
Lineage: Eukaryota; Metazoa; Chordata; Mammalia; Primates; Hominidae
Description: non-protein coding ZFHX2-AS1:35
Source: RNAcentral